UAGGGAAUCUUCGGCAAUGGGGGGAACCCUGACCGAGCAACGCCGCGUGAGUGAAGAAGGUUGUCGGAUCGUAAAGCUCUGUUGUUAAGGAAGAACGAGUGUGAGAAUGGAAAGUUCAUGCUGUGACGGUACUUAACCAGAAAGGGACGGCUAACUACGUGCCAGCAGCCGCGGUAAUACGUAGGUCCCGAGCGUUGUCCGGAUUUAUUGGGCGUAAAGCGAGCGCAGGCGGUUAGAAAAGUCUGAAGUGAAAGGCAGUGGCUCAACCAUUGUAGGCUUUGGAAACUGUUUAACUUGAGUGCAGAAGGGGAGAGUGGAAUUCCUUGUGUAGCGGUAAAAUGCGUAGAUAUAUGGAGGAACACCGGUGGCGAAAGCGGCUCUCUGGUCUGUAACUGACGCUGAGGCUCGAAAGCGUGGGGAGCGAACAGG
RNAcentral lists this ribosomal RNA (429 nucleotides) under Bacteroidota bacterium. RNAcentral's name for it is "Bacteroidetes bacterium partial 16S ribosomal RNA". It matches the Rfam family "Bacterial small subunit ribosomal RNA", at positions 355 to 776 of the family's 1533-position model. The record is from RNAcentral. Lineage: Bacteria; Pseudomonadati; Bacteroidota.